GCUCAUUACAACAGCCGUUGUUUCUUGGAUCUUGAUUUACUUGGAUAACUGUGGUAAUUCUAGAGCUAAUACAUGCAACCAAGCUCCAACCUCANGGGAGGAGCGCAUUUAUUAGACCAAGACCAAUCAGGCUUUGCCUGGAAUCUGGUGACUCUGAAUAACUUUGCUGAUCACAUGGUCUUAGUACCGGUGACAUAUCUUUCAAGUGUCUGCCCUAUCAACUUUCGAUGGUAGUUUAUGUGCCUACCAUGGUUGUAACGGGUAACGGAGAAUAAGGGUUCGACUCCGGAGAGGGAGCCUGAGAAAUG
RNAcentral lists this ribosomal RNA (308 nucleotides) under Draconematidae sp. 729_8-1500_A. RNAcentral describes it as "SSU rRNA". It matches the Rfam family "Eukaryotic small subunit ribosomal RNA", at positions 96 to 405 of the family's 1831-position model. The record is from RNAcentral. Lineage: Eukaryota; Metazoa; Nematoda; Chromadorea; Desmodorida; Draconematidae.